Molecule: non-coding RNA, 85 nt
Organism: Podarcis lilfordi (Lilford's wall lizard)
Lineage: Eukaryota; Metazoa; Chordata; Lepidosauria; Squamata; Lacertidae
Source: the annotation of a GenBank genome assembly
GCUGGGAUAGCUCAGUUGGUACACCAUGAGAUUCUUAAUCUCAGGGACGUGGGUCUGAGCCCCAUGCAGGGGGUCAGUCUAGACA